UGCAAGUCGAACGAUGAUCCCAGCUUGCUGGGGGAUUAGUGGCGAACGGGUGAGUAACACGUGAGUAACCUGCUCUUGACUCUGGGAUAAGCCUGGGAAACUGGGUCUAAUACCGGAUACGACCAUCUGGCGCAUGUCAUGGUGGUGGAAAGCUUUUGUGGUUUUGGAUGGACUCGCGGCCUAUCAGCUUGUUGGUGGGGUAAUGGCCUACCAAGGCGACGACGGGUAGCCGGCCUGAGAGGGUGACCGGCCACACUGGGACUGAGACACGGCCCAGACUCCUACGGGAGGCAGCAGUGGGGAAUAUUGCACAAUGGGCGCAAGCCUGAUGCAGCGACGCCGCGUGAGGGAUGACGGCCUUCGGGUUGUAAACCUCUUUCAGUAGGGAAGAAGCGUAAGUGACGGUACCUGCAGAAGAAGCGCCGGCUAACUACGUGCCAGCAGCCGCGGUAAUACGUAGGGCGCAAGCGUUAUCCGGAAUUACUGGGCGUAAAGCGCGCGUAGGCGGACCAGAAAGUUGGGGGUGAAAUCCCGGGGCUCAACCCCGGAACGGCCUCCAAAACUCCUGGUCUUGAGUUCGAGAGAGGUGAGUGGAAUUCCGAGUGUAGAGGUGAAAUUCGUAGAUAUUCGGAGGAACACCAGUGGCGAAGGCGGCUCACUGGCUCGAUACUGACGCUGAGGUGCGAAAGUGUGGGGAGCAAACAGGAUUAGAUACCCUGGUAGAAGGGC
This 729-nucleotide ribosomal RNA is filed under the name uncultured Actinomycetes bacterium. RNAcentral describes it as "bacterial SSU rRNA". It matches the Rfam family "Bacterial small subunit ribosomal RNA", at positions 56 to 795 of the family's 1533-position model. The record is from RNAcentral. Lineage: Bacteria; Bacillati; Actinomycetota; Actinomycetes.